Molecule: ribosomal RNA, 234 nt
Filed under: uncultured bacterium
Lineage: Bacteria
Description: partial 16S ribosomal RNA
Rfam family: Bacterial small subunit ribosomal RNA
Source: RNAcentral
UGGCGGACGGGUGAGUAAUGUCUGGGAAACUGCCUGAUGGAGGGGGAUAACUACUGGAAACGGUAGCUAAUACCGCAUAACGUCGCAAGACCAAAGAGGGGACCUUCGGGCCUCUUGCCACCGGAUGUGCCCAGAUGGGAUUAGCUAGUAGGUGGGGUAACGGCUCACCUAGGCGACGAUCCCUAGCUGGUCUGAGAGGAUGACCAGCCACACUGGAACUGAGACACGGUCCAG